This 404-nucleotide ribosomal RNA is filed under the name uncultured prokaryote. Its description in RNAcentral is "bacterial SSU rRNA". It matches the Rfam family "Bacterial small subunit ribosomal RNA", at positions 355 to 774 of the family's 1533-position model. The record is from RNAcentral.
UGAGGAAUCUUCCACAAUGGGGGCAACCCUGAUGGAGCAACGCCGCGUGCAGGAUGAAGGCCUUCGGGUCGUAAACUGCUUUUAUGAGUGAAGAAUAUGACGGUAACUCAUGAAUAAGCACCGGCUAACUACGUGCCAGCAGCCGCGGUCAUACGUAGGGUGCAAGCAUUAUCCGGAGUGACUGGGCGUAAAGAGUUGCGUAGGCGGUUAGUAAAGCGAAUAGUGAAACCUGGUGGCUCAACCAUACAGACUAUUAUUCGAACUCACUAACUCGAGAGUAGCAGAGGUAACUGGAAUUUCUAGUGUAGGAGUGAAAUCCGUAGAUAUUAGAAGGAACACCAAUGGCGUAGGCAGGUUACUGGGCUAUUUCUGACGCUAAGGCACGAAAGCGUGGGGAGCGAACC